RNAcentral lists this ribosomal RNA (735 nucleotides) under uncultured bacterium. Its description in RNAcentral is "bacterial SSU rRNA". It matches the Rfam family "Bacterial small subunit ribosomal RNA", at positions 28 to 776 of the family's 1533-position model. The record is from RNAcentral.
GACGAACGCUGGCCGCUCGCCUAACACAUGCAAGUCGAACGAGCGAGAGAGAGCUUGCUUUCUUGAGCGAGUGGCGAACGGGUGAGUAACGCGUGAGGAACCUGCCUCAAAGAGGGGGACAACAGUUGGAAACGACUGCUAAUACCGCAUAAGCCCACGACCCGGCAUCGGGUUGAGGGAAAAGGAGCAAUCCGCUUUGAGAUGGCCUCGCGUCCGAUUAGCUGGUUGGUGAGGUAACGGCCCACCAAGGCGACGAUCGGUAGCCGGACUGAGAGGUUGAACGGCCACAUUGGGACUGAGACACGGCCCAGACUCCUACGGGAGGCAGCAGUGGGGAAUAUUGCACAAUGGGGGAAACCCUGAUGCAGCGACGCCGCGUGGAGGAAGAAGGUCUUCGGAUUGUAAACUCCUGUUGUUGAGGAAGAUAAUGACGGUACUCAACAAGGAAGUGACGGCUAACUACGUGCCAGCAGCCGCGGUAAAACGUAGGUCACAAGCGUUGUCCGGAAUUACUGGGUGUAAAGGGAGCGCAGGUGGGAAGACAAGUUGGAAGUGAAAUCUAUGGGCUCAACCCAUAAACUGCUUUCAAAACUGUUUUUCUUGAGUAGUGCAGAGGUAGGCGGAAUUCCCGGUGUAGCGGUGGAAUGCGUAGAUAUCGGGAGGAACACCAGUGGCGAAGGCGGCCUACUGGGCACCAACUGACGCUGAGGCUCGAAAGUGUGGGUAGCAAACAGG